Molecule: long non-coding RNA, 979 nt
Organism: Chelonia mydas (Green sea turtle)
Lineage: Eukaryota; Metazoa; Chordata; Testudines; Cheloniidae
Exons: 3
Source: RefSeq, a predicted model, not a curated record
UGACAAAAGGCAGAAAGUGAAUGAGACAAACCACCUGGACUGGUGGGAGGGAAAAGUAAAUCUAAUUUACAGAUUGUAUGUCCUGGGAUGGAUGUGAGGCUGCAAGUAUGUUGGUUCCAUUGCUGGGAGAUGCCUGAAUGAGAGAGGAAAUAGAAGGUUUUAGAUAAGUUUAUAUUAAAUACCUGAGUCUGUCUCUGGGCCGCUGUCUGUUUCUCUGUGAUGAUGAAAACACAGUUCUAAGAGUUCAGAGUGGGAAUGCUGUUAAAAAUACACUCUGCCAUCUGCACGGGAGACAAAAAGAGAGUUCAGAGUGGGGAAGUAACCUUGACAUUGCCUUGACUGAACUCACUCCAAAAUCCAAGUCCCUUGUCCAGCAGAGGACCUGCCACUGAUGGAGAGUAUUAUAAUUAUUCAUGCAUAUUUUAUUUUACAUUUGUAGUGCUGUAUAAAAUGACAUUUUCAUUAGCGAUACCACAGUUUUAACAAGUAUUUCACACAAUUAUUCAUGAUUUUUUUUUCUUAAUACACGUGUGGGAGUAUUUAUUAUUGGAAAGAGGAAUCAAAGAUAAGAUGGAGAGCUCAUGCAUACUAAAUAUUGUUUUCUUUCAAACGGAUACUAAAAUAAGCCAGAAACGGCUUGAAAGUUUUUAAUACGGUUAUAUAUAUAUAUAACAUGAUAGGCUGCAAGAGUUCCAAGCUCUGUAACAAUUUAAUCCAUAAUUAAAACUAGUGCAAUAGCUAUUUUUAUAUAUCUCACUUUGCGUAGUGUGAAACGGUGAGUUUAUGGAAAUAUGUAUUAUUUCAGCCCCAUUGCAGAACAGUGCUGCGAUGGUUAAAGGCUCUGUAACAGUCCUAUUUUAUACGUCUCAGCCAUUAGGAUCUUACCUUUUAGGCAUAGCUGUUUGCUCCAGGCUCCAUUUUGGGAUUAAAGAACCUGAGCCCAAAUUAUAUUUUUGGUACAGGGUUUUUUUUUUUUUUU